This 1052-nucleotide ribosomal RNA is filed under the name uncultured Tychonema sp. RNAcentral's name for it is "bacterial SSU rRNA". It matches the Rfam family "Bacterial small subunit ribosomal RNA", at positions 335 to 1394 of the family's 1533-position model. The record is from RNAcentral. Lineage: Bacteria; Bacillati; Cyanobacteriota; Cyanophyceae; Oscillatoriales; Microcoleaceae.
AUUCCUACGGGAGGCAGCAGUCAAGAAUCUUCCUCAAUGGGCGAAAGCCUGAAGGAGCGACGCCGCGUGUAUGAAGAAGCCCCUCGGGGUGUAAAAUACUUUUAACUGUGACGAAACAAUGACGGUAGCAGUUGAAUAAGGGGCUGCUAACCUCGUGCCAGCAGCAGCGGUAAUACGAGGGCCCCAAGCGUUAUCCGGAUUUAUUGGGCGUAAAGCGUCCGUAGGUGGUUUAUCGCAUCUCCUGUUAAAUCUCGAGGCUCAACCUCGAGUCAGCGGGAGAGAUGGCUAAACUAGAGACUGGAAGAGGCAAACGGAAUUGCUGGUGUAGGGGUUAAAUCCAUUAAUAUCAGCAAGAACAUCAAAUGCGAAGGCAGUUUGCUAGGACAGUUCUGACACUCAGUGGACGAAAGCGUGGGGAGCGAAUGGGAUUAGAUACCCCAGUAGUCCACGCCGUAAACGAUGGAUACUAAGCAUUGGAAGUAUCGACCCUUUCAGUGCUGCUAAUUUAAGUUAACACGUUAAGUAAUCCACCUGGGGAGUACGGCCGCAAGGUUGAAACUCAAAGGAAUUGACGGGGGCCCGCACAAGCGGAGGAACAUGUGGUUUAAUUCGAUGAUACGCGAGGAACCUUACCUGGGCUUAAAUGUAGAGUGCAUUUUUUAGAGAUAGAAAUUCCCUUCGGGGCUUUCUGCAAGGUGCUGCAUGGUUGUCGUCAGCUCGUGCCGUGAGGUGUCGGGUUAAGUCCCAUAACGAGCGCAACCCUUAUCGUUAGUUGCCAGCGGGUAAUGCCGGGGACUCUAGCGAAACUGCCACCGUAAGGUGAGAGGAAGGUGGGGAUGACGUCAAAUCAGCACGGCCCUUAUGUCCAGGGCUACACACGUGUUACAAUGGUCGGUACAGAGGGCAGCUACCUGGUGACAGGAUGCUAAUCUCGAAAACCGGUCUCAGUUCGGAUCGAAGUCUGCAACUCGACUUCGUGAAGCUGGAUUCGCUAGUAAUCGCGCAUCAGCCAUGGCGCGGUGAAUACGUUCCCGGGCCUUGUACACACCGCC